CCCUUAGAUGUUCUGGGCUGCACGCGUGCUACACUGAUAUUGCCAAUAUGUCAUUCUUAUCCGAAAUGGAUUGGGUAAUCAAGUAAUGAAAUCUCAUGCUUGGAAUCGGUAAUUGCAAUUUUAUCGUGAACGAGGAAUUCCUAGUAAGCACUAGUCAUCAGCUAAUGUUGAUUAUGUCCCUGCCCUUUGUACACACCGCCCGUCGCUACUACUGAUUGGGUGUUCAAGUGAGAUGCUUAGACCCUUGUUGCAUGGUUCAUUAUUGUGCUCCGAAAGGAAAAAGUUUCAAGCUUGAGUGUCUAGAGGAAGUAAAAGUCGUAACA
Molecule: ribosomal RNA, 323 nt
Filed under: uncultured eukaryote
Lineage: Eukaryota
Description: partial 18S ribosomal RNA
Rfam family: Eukaryotic small subunit ribosomal RNA
Source: RNAcentral